AUGCAAGCUGCAAGAGGGCGGCGGCAGAAGGCAGCUUCCCUGCCGUUGGAUGUUCUGGUGGACAUUGCGGCGCGCACCGACCCGGCCACCUUCGUGCGCUGUGCGGCCACUUGCGUGGACAUGCGCUGCCGCGUCAAGGAAUACAUCAGCCUCCGCGCCCCCCUCCGCCUCCAGCACGGCGACCGCUUCGUGCUCCCCCUCCUGCGCGGCCACCUGAUCUACGGGUCCCACGACUGGUCCAAGCCCAAGGAGAAGCUGUUUCUGCUGGACACCAGCGCACCGGAUGCCACCAAGCUGCGCACAUCAACCCGCGGGGGCUUUCCCCUCUCGUCGCGUGAUGGUCUCGUGCUCGGCCGUGUGGGCGUGGCCAAAGAGCUCCGUGUGUGCGACCCGGCCACCGGUAGGAGCCUGACCCUGCCAUCUGAACCGAUGUUUCGUGGGUGGUCUGAGAAAAGUUAUGUCUUGCUGGUUGGUGACUGUGAUAAGGCGGCCACCUCCGUUGGCCGGCAUUUUCAAGUGGUCAAGGCAUGUCUAGAUAUAUCACAAUAUGGCGGCAACCUGCAGUUCCAGACCUUCUCGACAGAGCAUGGCGCGUGGGGCCUCUACACCGAGACCUGGCUUCCUAACCUACAAAGCAGGUUUUAA
This 645-nucleotide ribosomal RNA is filed under the name Triticum aestivum (bread wheat). RNAcentral's name for it is "partial small subunit ribosomal RNA". The record is from RNAcentral. Lineage: Eukaryota; Viridiplantae; Streptophyta; Magnoliopsida; Poales; Poaceae.